AUGCGGAGGGAUCAUUACCGAGUUUACAACUCCCAAAACCCAAUGUGAACGUUACCAAACUGUUGCCUCGGCGGGGUCACGCCCCGGGUGCGUCGCAGCCCCGGAACCAGGCGCCCGCCGGAGGAACCAACCAAACUCUUUCUGUAGUCCCCUCGCGGACGUAUUUCUUUACAGCUCUGAGCAAAAAUUCAAAAUGAAUCAAAACUUUCAACAACGGAUCUCUUGGUUCUGGCAUCGAUGAAGAACGCAGCGAAAUGCGAUAAGUAAUGUGAAUUGCAGAAUUCAGUGAAUCAUCGAAUCUUUGAACGCACAUUGCGCCCGCCAGUAUUCUGGCGGGCAUGCCUGUCCGAGCGUCAUUUCAACCCUCGAACCCCUCCGGGGGAUCGGCGUUGGGGAUCGGGACCCCUCACACGGGUGCCGGCCCCUAAAUACAGUGGCGGUCUCGCCGCAGCCUCUCCUGCGCAGUAGUUUGCACAACUCGCACCGGGAGCGCGGCGCGUCCACGUCCGUAAAACACCCAACUUUCUGAAAUGUUGACCUCGGAUCAGGUAGGAAUACCCGCUGAACUUAAGCAUAUCAUAGCC
This 584-nucleotide ribosomal RNA is filed under the name Trichoderma asperellum. RNAcentral's name for it is "partial 18S ribosomal RNA". The stretch from base 203 to 356 matches the Rfam family "5.8S ribosomal RNA". Lineage: Eukaryota; Fungi; Ascomycota; Sordariomycetes; Hypocreales; Hypocreaceae. The record is from RNAcentral.